GACCCGAGCUGCCUCUGGAGUGACUCUGGUGAGUGAUGAACAGAGGUAGCUGUUAUUUUUGGGGUGCGGUUGUCGCUGCACUUACUCUACUACAUCAAAUAGAGUAAAAUUCCAGUUUCUCUUUUAGAGGUGCUCUAGGCGGCUUCAGAGAAUGGGUGGAAGCAUCUGCCAUGUGGGGUAGAGGCUUCACAAGGAGCUUCAGUACGCAUCAGAAGGGGCUUGACCGCAUAAGUGCAGUAUUACGGAGAGACUGAGCAGGGUCACCUUUCUCAUCUGUAAAGGAUAAGUCUGUGAUUACCCCUGUUGGGGCUGCUGUGCAUUCAUGGCCUUUUGGCAUUUGUGGACCUGA
RNAcentral lists this long non-coding RNA (349 nucleotides) under Anser brachyrhynchus (Pink-footed goose). RNAcentral's name for it is "lncRNA (ENSABRG00000014892.1)". Lineage: Eukaryota; Metazoa; Chordata; Aves; Anseriformes; Anatidae. The record is from RNAcentral.